UACAGAGGGUGCGAGCGUUGUCCGGAAUCACUGGGCGUAAAGGGCGCGUAGGUGGCGCCGCAAGUCCAUGGUGAAAGCUCGAUGCUCAACAUCGAGUCGGCCACGGAGACUGCGGGGCUCGAGCACUGUAGAGGCAGAUGGAAUUCCGGGUGUAGCGGUGGAAUGCGUAGAGAUCCGGAAGAACACCGGUGGCGAAGGCGGUCUGCUGGGCAGUAGCUGACACUGAGGCGCGACAGCGUGGGGAGCAACAGG
RNAcentral lists this ribosomal RNA (252 nucleotides) under uncultured bacterium. RNAcentral's name for it is "partial 16S ribosomal RNA". It matches the Rfam family "Bacterial small subunit ribosomal RNA", at positions 524 to 775 of the family's 1533-position model. The record is from RNAcentral.